CCCUCUAGCUUGAUCAAAAUUGACUCUUUGUCUGAAAGGAGGAGAAGGAUUAGGCACUGUGGCCUUAUUAAAUCCAACUGAAUGUCUAUUAGUGUGGACAUUGAAAGACAUAGAGUCUGGAUUAAACUGAGAAGGGGACAGGACUUGUCUCUGCUUCUCAUCAUUGAGGACCAUAUUAUAGACACUGUCAAGGCUUGGAGGUGUCUGCAUCAUCAAUAGGUUACUCCUUACCCCCAUGUAUGCUUUAUUAAGGCCCAUUAGAAACUGAAAUACCUUAUUUUCAUCAUUUUCCUGUAUUAUACCAUCUUUGGCAGCACAAACACAUCUUUGCCCAUGAUUGCCACACAUUGAUUCAAAUUCAUCCCACAAACCUUUGAGUUUAUUAAAAUAUGAAGCUACAUCUAGGGACCCUUGAGAGGUGUGAGAAAGCUCUCUUUUCAAUUCAUAAAUUUUGGUCCAGUUUGCAGUGCCAUAUCUGGCCUGAAGUUGG
RNAcentral lists this long non-coding RNA (490 nucleotides) under Nicotiana benthamiana. RNAcentral's name for it is "long non-coding RNA (NBEN_LNC023850)". The record is from RNAcentral. Lineage: Eukaryota; Viridiplantae; Streptophyta; Magnoliopsida; Solanales; Solanaceae.